CCUACGGGGGGCAGCAGUGGGGAAUAUUGCACAAUGGGGGAAACCCUGAUGCAGCGACGCCGCGUGAAGGAAGACGUAUUUCGGUAUGUAAACUUCUAUCAGCAGGGAAGAAAAUGACGGUACCUGACUAAGAAGCCCCGGCUAACUACGUGCCAGCAGCCGCGGUAAUACGUAGGGGGCACGCGUUAUCCGGAUUUACUGGGUGUAAAGGGAGCGUAGGCGGGGAUGCAAGUCAGAAGUGAAAGCCCGGGGCUCAACUCCGGGACUGCUUUUGAAACUGUGUUGCUUGAGUGCAGGAAGGGGAGGUGGAAUUCCUGGUGUAGCGGUGAAAUGCGUAGAUAUUAGGAGGAACACCAGUGGCGAAGGCGGCUGACUGGACUGUAAAUGACGCUGAGGCUCGAAAGUGUGGGGAGCAAACAGGAUUAGAUACCCCAGUAGUC
Molecule: ribosomal RNA, 440 nt
Filed under: uncultured bacterium
Lineage: Bacteria
Description: partial 16S ribosomal RNA
Rfam family: Bacterial small subunit ribosomal RNA
Source: RNAcentral